CAGAACUGUCUUGGAAAGCCCUGGAAAAACAGGACAAAGAAACCUGUGUGAAUUUUCCGCUUUUCACCUUCUCUGAUUUUAUUUCUUCCUCAUUCUUCCUUUGACAGUCCUCGCAGGCCUCCUGAGAGAAUAGGGAAGACCCCCUCCCAGAACCUUCCUGUAAGGUCUCCCCGCUGACUUCCUGUAGUGGAUGUGACUGUGUGCCAGGUGCCUGCCGAAGACCCCUGUCACUGACUGUGCCCUUUGGGAAAGAGUCAACAAUGGCCUCCUCCUGUGGCUGACUUCGUUCAUGUUCAGGCUCUCCAGCUUGCUAGUGAGAAUUGCCAAGGAGUGGUUCAUGGCAGGAUAGAACUAAACUGAUAGAUGAAAGCUCCACAGUGCUUCAAGACGGGGUCCCGUUCAUGUUUAGCAGUUUUCCUUCCUUCAAAAUAAAAAACUAGCAGUCCUUA
RNAcentral lists this small RNA (449 nucleotides) under Pan troglodytes (chimpanzee). RNAcentral's name for it is "sense intronic". Lineage: Eukaryota; Metazoa; Chordata; Mammalia; Primates; Hominidae. The record is from RNAcentral.